UCUAUAUAAGUUAACAUAUUCAUUCGAUACUGAUAUGUCACCUUGUUAUGCGCAGUUUGUCUCAAUGAAGAGUCAUAUCCUGUUCUUAGUUCCAUACUCUUGUGAACAAGAUCUCUGGAUACAUGCUAUCCAAAAUCGAGUCAAAGUCUAAGAGACACUGAACCAGAUGAUGGAAUUGAUACGGCUUAUUAUUUUAGGGGUAGAUUUGAUUGGCCCAGCUAUGUACUUUGGUCUCAUGGGUGAUGGUCAGCCUAUUGGUAGCUACGACGACAUGUGGGCUGGUUGGUGCAUCAAGCAUAGCUAAAUAUGAAGCAUAUGCUCCGUACUUAGUUGUUUGGGAUUGAAGACCACUUGAGCUUGGGAGUGAAGACAAGCUUGGGAUGAGCUUAACCCACCAGCAGCCAAUGGCAAAGCUUGAGCAGUAAUGAGCCAAAAA
Molecule: long non-coding RNA, 436 nt
Organism: Arabidopsis lyrata subsp. lyrata
Lineage: Eukaryota; Viridiplantae; Streptophyta; Magnoliopsida; Brassicales; Brassicaceae
Exons: 2
Source: RefSeq, a predicted model, not a curated record